RNAcentral lists this ribosomal RNA (439 nucleotides) under uncultured bacterium. Its description in RNAcentral is "partial 16S ribosomal RNA". It matches the Rfam family "Bacterial small subunit ribosomal RNA", at positions 339 to 795 of the family's 1533-position model. The record is from RNAcentral.
CUACGGGCUGCUGCAGUGAGGAAUAUUGCACAAUGGAGGGAACCCUGAUGCAGCAACGCCGCGUGGAGGAUGACGCAUUUCGGUGUGUAAACUCCUUUUAUAUGUCAAGAAAAUGACGGUAGCAUAUGAAUAAGCACCGGCUAACUCCGUGCCAGCAGCCGCGGUAAUACGGAGGGUGCAAGCGUUACUCGGAAUCACUGGGCGUAAAGGACGCGUAGGCGGGUUGGAAAGCCAGGUGUGAAAUCCUACAGCUUAACUGUAGAACUGCACUUGAAACUUCUAAUCUAGAGUAUGGGAGGGGGAGAUGGAAUUAGUGGUGUAGGGGUAAAAUCCGUAGAUAUCACUAGGAAUACCUAAAGCGAAGGCGAUCUCCUGGAACAUUACUGACGCUAAGGCGUGAAAGCGUGGGGAGCAAACAGGAUUAGAUACCCUCGUAGUC